This 206-nucleotide microRNA precursor is filed under the name Sorghum bicolor (sorghum). Its description in RNAcentral is "MIR6217 microRNA precursor family". It matches the Rfam family "MIR6217 microRNA precursor family". Lineage: Eukaryota; Viridiplantae; Streptophyta; Magnoliopsida; Poales; Poaceae. The record is from Rfam by way of RNAcentral.
UGGCUACAAAAUAACUUAUUUUAUAGCCACUUUGAGUUACGAUAAUUACUAUAUUAAUUUACAAGAUUAUAGUAACUCCUUACUAAGUGGUUUACUAUAACAUUACGGUAAAUAUCCCCAUGUGUUAUAGUAACUCAACUAUCGUAAAUUAAUAUAUAAAAUUAUCGUAAAUGGAGGUGGCUACAGAAUAACAUAUUUUGUAGCUA